GAUGAACGCUGGCGGCGUGCCUAAUACAUGCAAGUCGAGCGAACAGACGAGGAGCUUGCUCCUCUGACGUUAGCGGCGGACGGGUGAGUAACACGUGGAUAACCUACCUAUAAGACUGGGAUAACUUCGGGAAACCGGAGCUAAUACCGGAUAAUAUAUUGAACCGCAUGGUUCAAUAGUGAAAGACGGUUUUGCUGUCACUUAUCGAUGGAUCCGCGCCGCAUUAGCUAGUUGGUAAGGUAACGGCUUACCAAGGCAACGAUGCGUAGCCGACCUGAGAGGGUGAUCGGCCACACUGGAGAUGAGACACGGUCAAGACUCCUACGGGAGGCAGCAGUAGGGAAUCUUCCGCAAUGGGCGAAAGCAUGACGGAGCAACGCCGCGUGAGUGAUGAAGGUCUUCGGAUCGUAAAACUCUGUUAUUAGGGAAGAACAAAUGUGUAAGUAAAUAUGCACGUAUUGACGGUACCUAAUCAGAAAGCCACGGCUAACUACGUG
RNAcentral lists this ribosomal RNA (497 nucleotides) under uncultured bacterium. Its description in RNAcentral is "partial 16S ribosomal RNA". It matches the Rfam family "Bacterial small subunit ribosomal RNA", at positions 28 to 507 of the family's 1533-position model. The record is from RNAcentral.